RNAcentral lists this ribosomal RNA (472 nucleotides) under uncultured bacterium. Its description in RNAcentral is "bacterial SSU rRNA". It matches the Rfam family "Bacterial small subunit ribosomal RNA", at positions 30 to 496 of the family's 1533-position model. The record is from RNAcentral.
AUUGAACGCUGGCGGCAGGCCUAACACAUGCAAGUCGAGCGGAUGAGUGGAGCUUGCUCCAUGAUUCAGCGGCGGACGGGUGAGUAAUGCCUAGGAAUCUGCCUGGUAGUGGGGGACAACGUUUCGAAAGGAACGCUAAUACCGCAUACGUCCUACGGGAGAAAGCAGGGGACCUUCGGGCCUUGCGCUAUCAGAUGAGCCUAGGUCGGAUUAGCUAGUAGGUGAGGUAAUGGCUCACCUAGGCGACGAUCCGUAACUGGUCUGAGAGGAUGAUCAGUCACACUGGAACUGAGACACGGUCCAGACUCCUACGGGAGGCAGCAGUGGGGAAUAUUGGACAAUGGGCGAAAGCCUGAUCAGCCAUGCCGCGUGUGUGAAGAAGGUCUUACGGAUUGUAAAGCACUUUAAGUUGGGAGGAAGGCAGUAAGUUAAUACCUUGCUGUUUUGACGUUACCAACAGAAUAAGCACCGG